UGUAAAUCACAAUAAUAUGCACAUGAUUCUAGUAUAUAAAAUAUUAUAGGUACUAGAAAUUAUAAUGUAAAAUACUAAAAUAUUCAUAACUUAUUAACCGAAUUAAAAGGAAUUAAAGCGCUUAUCUGCUAUCUUAAUAAUAAUAUAUGGCAGUCGCGUUAUCAUAUGAAGCAUGUUCGUUACUACCAUAGACCCAGUAUUACGUAUCCGUGUUUACACCGUAUCGUGUUGUUUUGUAGGUAUUGUACCUAACAUUUUUUAAGAGUUUUUAUGAUCUCGCGAAAUCUUGCGUUUUUUUUUAGAUUAUACCAAAAUGCAAUAUCAAAGAUACAAAAAUUAUUAGUUAUUACCAUGAACUAAGAAGAUAUCCUCUUAGUUCAUAGUUAUUACUUAUUACCAAUUCUGGUGAUAACAUUUUAAAUUUUAAUAAAUUCGAAAUAAUGAUUAAUGAUCACAUCCAUCAUCCAUAUUCAUUAGGUAUUUAGUUUUCGCUAUUCACUUCACGUCAAGUUUUAGUCAUGGACCGUAGUUAUUACAUUAGUAACAUUUAAGAGAAAAUUGUGCAACUAUAAUGUUCAUGACUAUAAUGAAGAAUACACAAAAGGGAAAUUUGCUUUACUUCAUUAGUAAUGAAUCUUGUCGAAGAAAAUUUAUAUAAAAUAGAGAAAAAAUGGUGUGUCAGGUCUUUGCAAUGAGAACGUAUUGAACAUAGUUAUUUUAACACUAUGAUUAAUGGACAUAAGCUAUCAAAUUUAGUCCAAUUUUUUAACUUAACUAGAAUACCACCAACUACUUUUGAAGAACUGGUUAUUUUAAUGGACCCAUUUCUUUAGAGAAUACAUUCAAGACCUGAUAUUCUAUCAAUUAGAGAAAUUUUAGCACCUAUAUUAAGGUUAGUUUUUAUAUAAUAUUUAUUAAAAAAUAUGAUAUUUUGUAGGAGCAUUAGAUGGAAAAUAUAUUGUACAUCAAGUAUGUAUAUUUUUAUUUCAAAAAAAUUAGAGUAUAAAAAGGCCAAUAGAUCUUAUGAUUCACUUAGAAUGUAAUGUUUAAUUAAAAUUAAAUGUAUUAUGUUCAGUAAAUGAUAUCAUUAUUGUUAAAUUUUUCCUGGCAUUUCCAAAUAUUGGUUCUAUCAACUACAAUUGUAAAGGCUCACAUGGUACCAUUCUUUUGGUACUAUCUGAUGCCAAUUAUAAUUUUACAUGUGUUGAUAUUGGAGUGUUGGGCAUGUGUAGUGAUGGGGGAGUUUUCAGGGUGUCUGAAAUGGAUAGAAGGGUACUACAGAAUAAUUUUAAUUUCCCUAACACUUCACCUAUAAGUGGAUAUUUUAAAGACUACCCUUAUUUCAUUGUGGUAGAUGAAGCUUUUCCACUCUUAACAAAUUGAAUGAGACCAUAUCCCGGAUGAAGAAAUAAAAACUUAUCUUUGAAAUCUACCAUUUUCAACUAUAGGUAAUUUAUUGUGUAAAAAUUAAAUAAUAAUAGAUUGAGACGAGCAAGAAGAUGCUCGUGACGUAUAUACCGAGGAGUGAUUAUUGCUUCUGAGCUGUGAUGAGUAUCAUCAAAACAACACUCAACAGUGCCUCAUAAUUUAAUUUUAAAAAAACAAACUGAGUCAGUUAAUACAAUAGUUUUGUACGCAUAUUUACACCCCUACAUGUCUUGGCAGAAUUGAAAACAUUACAAAUCAAAAUUCAGUCGGUUUAGUUCCAGUGGGUCAAAUGGGAACAAAUUUUUACGACUGAAAUUCAAGAAGGAUAAGGUCAAAUCUAACCGAUUACUUUGCCACAGAAGGUAGUCUUCUGUUUCAGUACGACCAUGUAUAAUUCAAUUUUGUGAAACUAAUAACUAUUUAUAACUAUCAAUUACAAAUAAAAAUAUUUUAUUAGAUUAAU
Myzus persicae (green peach aphid) is the source of this 1891-nucleotide long non-coding RNA. RefSeq lists it as uncharacterized. NCBI's taxonomy places the organism in Eukaryota, Metazoa, Arthropoda, Insecta, Hemiptera, Aphididae. The transcript is spliced from 4 exons. The record is from RefSeq and is a predicted model, not a curated record.